GAGCUGUUGACAGCAUAUGGCCUCCAGAAAUAGAUUCCGGGAAAUUUCCACUCUUGAUAAGCCCAGAUGUGAUCAGGAGUUGGGAGCGAAUAUUGGGAACCAUCAGUAGGGCACAAUGUGGUGGGGAACAGAUGUAAAGGAGGGCAGGGUUCCUUGGCAGUCACAAUUUGUCAGCUCUCUCAUAUAGGCCCAAUUGGGAGAAGGGGGUCUUACCCCCUUCUUCAGCCUGUGGCUGCUGGUAAGACAACUUUUUAAAGCUUUCUUCAAACUGUAAAACUCCGAAAAAGAUUUUUGUUCCAGUUGUUCCAGUGUUUAAGUAACCAUGACAAGCAUGAUUCCAGAUGUAAAAGCCAAGAGGUUGCGUACCAAGAAAGUCUUCCAACAGCUGUGGAAUUUUAAAAAGCAUAAA
Hemicordylus capensis (graceful crag lizard) is the source of this 409-nucleotide long non-coding RNA. RefSeq lists it as uncharacterized. The transcript has 3 exons. The record is from RefSeq and is a predicted model, not a curated record. Lineage: Eukaryota; Metazoa; Chordata; Lepidosauria; Squamata; Cordylidae.